This 221-nucleotide unclassified non-coding RNA is filed under the name plant metagenome. Its description in RNAcentral is "partial contains small subunit ribosomal RNA and internal transcribed spacer 1". The stretch from base 1 to 46 matches the Rfam family "Eukaryotic small subunit ribosomal RNA", at positions 1786 to 1831 of the family's 1831-position model. The record is from RNAcentral.
AAGUCGUAACAAGGUUUCCGUAGGUGAACCUGCGGAAGGAUCAUUAUCGAGUUAGGGUCUUCAUGGCCUGACCUCCAACCCUGUGUUUAUUAUCCACGUUGCUUCGGCGGGUCCGUUCGGUCUCCGAGCGCGUUAACCUUCGGGUUGGCGAGCGCCCGCCAGAGUCCAACCAAACUCUUGUAUUAACCAGUCGUCUGAGUAUAAAUUUAAUUAAAUUAAAA